Molecule: small RNA, 130 nt
Filed under: Pantoea sp. LMR881
Lineage: Bacteria; Pseudomonadati; Pseudomonadota; Gammaproteobacteria; Enterobacterales; Erwiniaceae
Description: RtT sRNA
Rfam family: RtT RNA
About the family: This family represents a bacterial cis-regulatory element known as RtT RNA.
Source: RNAcentral
ACCCGACUCUGCGAGAGAAGGAUGAGAAGCUUCGACCCGAAGGUUCGAGCCGAGCGCAGCGAGACAACGCGCUUCAGCGCGGCCCGCAGGGUGAGGCGCAGCGCGCCGAAUUAUCCUUCUCCCACCACCA